Molecule: ribosomal RNA, 292 nt
Filed under: uncultured bacterium
Lineage: Bacteria
Description: partial 16S ribosomal RNA
Rfam family: Bacterial small subunit ribosomal RNA
Source: RNAcentral
GUGUCAGCCGCCGCGGUAAUACAUACUGUGCGAACGUUAUUCGGAUUUACUGGGCUUAAAGGGUGCGUAGGCGGUUCGUUAAGUAGGGUGUGAAAGCCCCUGGCUCAACCAGGGAAUUGCACUCUAUACUGGCGGGCUAGAGUGAGAUAGGGGUGUCCGGAACUGCCGGUGGAGCGGUGAAAUGUGUUGAUAUCGGCAGGAACGCCGGUGGCGAAAGCGGGACACUGGGUCUCAACUGACGCUGAGGCACGAAAGCCAGGGGAGCGAACGGGAUUAGAAACCCCAGUAGUCC